RNAcentral lists this ribosomal RNA (502 nucleotides) under uncultured bacterium. RNAcentral's name for it is "partial 16S ribosomal RNA". It matches the Rfam family "Bacterial small subunit ribosomal RNA", at positions 899 to 1397 of the family's 1533-position model. The record is from RNAcentral.
ACUCAAAUGAAUUGACGGGGGCCCGCACAAGCGGUGGAGCAUGUUGUUUAAUACGUCACUAACCGUAGAACCUUACCAGGGCUUGACAUCUGGCGCACUGCCGUGAAAGCGGCCUUCCCCGCAAGGGGACGCCAAGACAGGUGUUGCAUGGCUGUCGUCAGCUCGUGUCGUGAGAUGUUGGGUUAAGUCCCGCAACGAGCGCAACCCUCACGCGAUGUUGCCAGCGGGUAAAGCCGGGAACUCUUCGCGAACUGCCGGGGUAACUCGGAGGAAGGCGGGGACGACGUCAAGUCAGCAUGGCCCUUACGCCCUGGGCUACAAACAUGCUACAAUGGGCGGCAGACAGAGGGAACCGAGGUCGCGAGACGGAGGCAAUCCCACAAAUCCGCCCCCAGUUCGGAUUGCAGGCUGCAACUCGCCUGCAUGAAGUCGGAAUCGCUAGUAACCGCAGGUCAGCGAAACUGCGGUGAAUACGUUCCCGGGCCUUGUACACACCGCCCGU